GGUGGCUUAGUGGUAGAGCUCUUGCCUUGCAUGCAUGAGGCCCUGGGUUCAAUUCCUCAGCACCA
This is a non-coding RNA of Dipodomys ordii (Ord's kangaroo rat), 65 nucleotides long. NCBI's taxonomy places the organism in Eukaryota, Metazoa, Chordata, Mammalia, Rodentia, Heteromyidae. The record is from Rfam.